This 849-nucleotide ribosomal RNA is filed under the name Pediococcus ethanolidurans. RNAcentral's name for it is "bacterial SSU rRNA". It matches the Rfam family "Bacterial small subunit ribosomal RNA", at positions 36 to 874 of the family's 1533-position model. Lineage: Bacteria; Bacillati; Bacillota; Bacilli; Lactobacillales; Lactobacillaceae. The record is from RNAcentral.
UUCGUAACUUGGUUUCGAUAUGCUUGCAUCGAAGAUGAUUUUAACUAUAAAGUGAGUGGCGAACGGGUGAGUAACACGUGGGUAACCUGCCCAGAAGGGGGGGAUAACACCUGGAAACAGAUGCUAAUACCGCAUAACAAAAUUAACCGCAUGGUUGAUUUUUAAAAGAUGGCUUCGGCUAUCACUUCUGGAUGGACCCGCGGCGUAUUAGCUAGUUGGUGAGAUAAAGGCUCACCAAGGCAGUGAUACGUAGCCGACCUGAGAGGGUAAUCGGCCACAUUGGGACUGAGACACGGCCCAGACUCCUACGGGAGGCAGCAGUAGGGAAUCUUCCACAAUGGACGCAAGUCUGAUGGAGCAACGCCGCGUGAGUGAUGAAGGCUUUCGGGUCGUAAAACUCUGUUGUUGGAGAAGAACGUGUGUGAGAGUAACUGCUCAUGCAGUGACGGUAUCCAACCAGAAAGCCACGGCUAACUACGUGCCAGCAGCCGCGGUAAUACGUAGGUGGCAAGCGUUAUCCGGAUUUAUUGGGCGUAAAGCGAGCGCAGGCGGUCUUUUAAGUCUAAUGUGAAAGCCUUCGGCUUAACCGAAGAAGUGCAUUGGAAACUGGGAGACUUGAGUGCAGAAGAGGAGAGUGGAACUCCAUGUGUAGCGGUGAAAUGCGUAGAUAUAUGGAAGAACACCAGUGGCGAAGGCGGCUCUCUGGUCUGCAACUGACGCUGAGGCUCGAAAGCAUGGGUAGCGAACAGGAUUAGAUACCCUGGUAGUCCAUGCCGUAAACGAUGAAUGCUAAGUGUUGGAGGGUUUCCGCCCUUCAGUGCUGCAGCUAACGCAUUAAGCAUUCCGCCU